AAUAGUGGUUUUCUUAGCGGAAUAAAAAAGGUAAGUAAGAUGGUUUCUGUAAUAUACUGUUGUUGGCCAAUGGGGGCCUCUAGUUAGGGUGAAGACCUGUACUGACUGACUGACUGCUACUGGUUAGGUAGUUUGAGGUGCCGACAAUAGCUAGUACUAAUAUCAUUUGGAACAAUGCUAGAAAAGUAACAGCCUUUAAUGUGAAUUGAGAAAAGUAUAGCUAAGGAUGUCAGUAGGUCUGUAUCUUUUUUUUUCUCCCUGGUCAACAGAUAUUUCCACUGCCCUUGGUUUGGUCCUCAUGGUCUGAGAAUGACAUCUGUUCUUCAGUUGUAAGGCAGUAACUGCCAGGAAGAUGGGUCUUAUAUUUGUAGUUCGGCUUUCUUAGCCCACUU
Molecule: long non-coding RNA, 392 nt
Filed under: Bos taurus (domestic cattle)
Lineage: Eukaryota; Metazoa; Chordata; Mammalia; Artiodactyla; Bovidae
Description: long non-coding RNA NONBTAT001204
Source: RNAcentral